RNAcentral lists this ribosomal RNA (253 nucleotides) under uncultured bacterium. RNAcentral describes it as "partial 16S ribosomal RNA". It matches the Rfam family "Bacterial small subunit ribosomal RNA", at positions 524 to 776 of the family's 1533-position model. The record is from RNAcentral.
UACGUAGGUGGCGAGCGUUGUCCGGAUUUACUGGGCGUAAAGGGAGCGUAGGCGGAUUUUUAAGUGAGAUGUGAAAUACUCGGGCUCAACUUGAGUGCUGCAUUUCAAACUGGAAGUCUAGAGUGCAGGAGAGGAGAAUGGAAUUCCUAGUGUAGCGGUGAAAUGCGUAGAGAUUAGGAAGAACACCAGUGGCGAAGGCGAUUCUCUGGACUGUAACUGACGCUGAGGCCCGAAAGCGUGGGGAGCAAACAGG